GUAAGAACCUCAUCUUUCUUGAUCUGAAGAUAUUGGGGUUUAGAUAUAUUGUGCCCAGUGGGCCACUUUUGGUAAGCAGAACUGGCGCUGUGGGAUGAACCAAACAUGAUGUUACGGCGCCAAAAUUAAUGACUCAUAUUGAUACCAUGAAAGGCGUUGGUUGCUUAAAACAGCAGGACGGUGGACAUGGAAGUCGUAAUCCGCUAAGGAGUGUGUAACAACUCACCUGCCGAAGCAACUAGCCCUUAAAAUGGAUGGCGCUCAAGUCAUAUGCCUAUACAUCAUCGCUAAAAUAAAAAUUGUUGACUUUUUGGUCAUCAUUAUGAAAUUUUAGCGAGUAGGAGGGUACAAUGGUGUGCGCAGAAGUGUUUGGCGUGAGCCUGCAUGAAGCCGCCAUUGGCACAGAUCUUGGUGGUAGUAGCAAAUAAUCGAAUGAGAUCUUGGAGGACUGAAGUGGAGAAGGGUUUCGUGUGAACAGUGGUUGAUCACGAGUUAGUCGGUCCUAAGCUUUAUGCGAAAGCUGUUUAAUUUAUGUUACACACAAAUAUAAAAUUGUUGUACAUAAUUCAAUAAAAGCGAAAGGGAAUACGGUUCCAAUUCCGUAACCUGUUGAGUAUACGUUUGUUUAUUAAAAAUGGGUCUUAUUACACUCAUCCUGGCAACAGGAACGACCA
This 674-nucleotide ribosomal RNA is filed under the name Cratyna colei. RNAcentral's name for it is "eukaryotic LSU rRNA". It matches the Rfam family "Eukaryotic large subunit ribosomal RNA", at positions 1073 to 1659 of the family's 3401-position model. The record is from RNAcentral. Lineage: Eukaryota; Metazoa; Arthropoda; Insecta; Diptera; Sciaridae.